Molecule: ribosomal RNA, 460 nt
Filed under: uncultured bacterium
Lineage: Bacteria
Description: partial 16S ribosomal RNA
Rfam family: Bacterial small subunit ribosomal RNA
Source: RNAcentral
CCUACGGGUGGCAGCAGUGAGGAAUAUUGGUCAAUGGACGAGAGUCUGAACCAGCCAAGUAGCGUGAAGGAUGACUGCCCUAUGGUUUGUAAACUUCUUUUAUAUGGGAGUAAAAUGUUCCACGUGUGGGGUUUUGUCUGUACCAUAUGAAUAAGGAUCGGCUAACUCCGUGCCAGCAGCCGCGGUAAUACGGAGGAUCCGAGCGUUAUCCGGAUUUAUCGGGUUUAAAGGGAGCGUAGGUGGGUUGUUAAGUCAGUUGUGAAAGUUUGCGGCUCAACCGUAAAAUUGCAGUUGAAACUGGCAGUCUUGAGUACAGUAGAGGUGGGCGGAAUUCGUGGUGUAGCGGUGAAAUGCUUAGAUAUCACGAAGAACUCCGAUGGCGAAGGCAGCUCACUGGACUGCAACUGACACUGAGGCUCGAAAGUGUGGGUAUCAAACAGGAUUAGAUACCCUAGUAGUC